AUCGUACAAAACCCCCUCUGCCCAGGAGUUGAUCAUCUUUAGUUCUCAGAAAGAGAGGUGAAGUUAUUGGUGCGUACUUUCUCAUCUGAGUAGUCUACAAACUGCAGGUUCUUGCUGAAACAACAUCUCUGAUAUUCUCAGAGACAUAAAAGGACAUGGAUAUGAAGCCUCUGAUGAUUCUCCUCCUGCUAGCAGCAAACUUGCAAGGAAUCACCACCACCACUCCUGCAGCAGCUGCUACCACCAACACCCCUGCAGCAGCUGUCACCACCACCACUCCUGCA
Salmo salar (Atlantic salmon) is the source of this 284-nucleotide non-coding RNA. The record is from RefSeq and is a predicted model, not a curated record. Lineage: Eukaryota; Metazoa; Chordata; Actinopteri; Salmoniformes; Salmonidae.